Molecule: ribosomal RNA, 409 nt
Filed under: uncultured bacterium
Lineage: Bacteria
Description: bacterial SSU rRNA
Rfam family: Bacterial small subunit ribosomal RNA
Source: RNAcentral
AGCAGUGGGGAAUAUUGGACAAUGGGCGAAAGCCUGAUCCAGCCAUGCCGCGUGUGUGAAGAAGGUCUUCGGAUUGUAAAGCACUUUAAGUUGGGAGGAAGGGCAGUAAAUUAAUACUUUGCUGUUUUGACGUUACCGACAGAAUAAGCACCGGCUAACUCUGUGCCAACAGCCGCGGUAAUACAGAGGGUGCAAGCGUUAAUCGGAAUUACUGGGCGUAAAGCGCGCGUAGGUGGUUCGUUAAGUUGGAUGUGAAAUCCCCGGGCUCAACCUGGGAACUGCAUUCAAAACUGACGAGCUAGAGUAUGGUAGAGGGUGGUGGAAUUUCCUGUGUAGCGGUGAAAUGCGUAGAUAUAGGAAGGAACACCAGUGGCGAAGGCGACCACCUGGACUGAUACUGACACUGAGG